GCGCACGCUGGCGGCAGGCCUAACACAUGCCAGUCGCACGAACUCUUCGGAGUUAGUGGCGGACGGGUGAGUAACACGUGGGAACGUGCCUUUUGGUUCGGAAUAACUCAGGGAAACUUGUGCUAAUACCGAAUGUGCCCUUCGGGGGAAGGAUUUAUCGCCAUUAGAGCGGCCCGCGUCUGAUUAGCUAGUUGGUGAGGUAACGGCUCACCAAGGCGACGAUCAGUAGCUGGUCUGAGAGGAUGACCAGCCACACUGGGACUGAGACACGGCCCAGACUCCUACGGGAGGCAGCAGUGGGGAAUCUUGCGCAAUGGGCGAAAGCCUGACGCAGCCAUGCCGCGUGAAUGAUGAAGGUCUUAGGAUUGUAAAAUUCUUUCACCGGGGACGAUAAUGACGGUACCCGGAGAAGAAGCCCCGGCUAACUUCGUG
Molecule: ribosomal RNA, 432 nt
Filed under: uncultured bacterium
Lineage: Bacteria
Description: partial 16S ribosomal RNA
Rfam family: Bacterial small subunit ribosomal RNA
Source: RNAcentral